This 1371-nucleotide long non-coding RNA is filed under the name Gossypium raimondii (Peruvian cotton). RNAcentral describes it as "long non-coding RNA (GRAI_LNC005234)". Lineage: Eukaryota; Viridiplantae; Streptophyta; Magnoliopsida; Malvales; Malvaceae. The record is from RNAcentral.
AUUUAAUCAAAAUAUAAAGUCCAAAGUACCAAAAUAAAUGUUUGAUAGUGUGAUGCAAUCUCCGACAACUUCCAAUCCGAAUGAGCUUCCGAAGCACUAUAAAACAUGAAAAUAAAACAGAGUAAGCAAUUAAGCUUAUUAAGUUCGUAUAACUAAAAAUACAACUUACCGAUCAACCACUAUUUAGGUAAGCAACAUUAAGGCAUAAUACAACUCAAAUUAGCCCAAAAGUCUAAUACAUAAUCAUCAACCAUGUUGGCCAUGAAUUCAUAUUUCAAUACAUACCACUUCUCAUAUUUCACAAAAAUACAUGUACUAGUUUGUGUCGAACUCGUAUUAUCCUCAUAACAAUACGGUGCCCGUUGAACCACUUAGGAUAAUAUCGGAUACACGGGUAUCUCGCACACUAAGUGCCAAUAUGUGGUCAAAACCACCACUAUCUCAUAUCUCGUAUCAUUGCUCUCUCUCGAGCCAUAACUGGGUUUGCUCACACAAGCUGUCAGUCAAGACGUAGCUAUACGGUGCUGCUCACACAAGCUGUAAAGUAACAGCAACACAUGCCGAAAACUCAGCCACCGGUAGGAUGUACGAGACCGGCACCCAAAAUACGGUAACCCCUAAUGACAUGUCAUUUGUAUCAUAUCUAUUCCUAAGGUUCAAUCGGGAUCCUUACGUCGCCGAAACUUUGUCGAAUAUUUUUGUAGAGUCGUAUCAUCAAAAAUAUAAUAAUAAAGCAUUUAAAAUACAUAUAUUUAAUGCUUAUUAAACAUACGAACUUACCUCAAAUUAGUACAGAAAAAAUUGAUCGAUUAGUCCACUACUUUGUCUUUUCCCCGAUUUAAUUCCGAAUGUUGCUUUUCUUGAUCUAUAUAAUCAAAUUUAACUAAUUUAAUCAUCAUUCUAUACAAUUCAAUCCAAAAAUCAUGUUAUGGAAAAAUUAAUAUUUUGCACCUAUACUUUUGAAUUCUUUACAAUUUAGUCCCUAGGCUUGUAAAAUGAAAUUCAUGCAAUUUCAUCCACAUAUAAGUCUAUCUGAAUUCUAUAUAUAUAUGCUUAUAUCAUCCCAUACAUUUAAAAAAUUCACACAUUUAACACAAAAUUUUCACAUUUCACAAAUUAACCCCUAAUUGACAAUUUCAACAAAACUCACUUAACAAAAGUUGUUUAAUUAACAACAAUGAUUCAUUUUCUUCCAUUAAACUUCAAAAACCUAACAUAUUAAUCAAUGGAAAAACUUAAAAUACUCAAUAUUUUUGCAAAUUAGUCCCCUAGUUAUCAAGGUUAAGCUACAACAAUCCCGAAAACAUAAAAAUCAUCAAAAACUGGACAAAAUAACACUUACAUGCAAGGACUUCACUUGGCUGAAUUUUU